UACGUAGGGAGCAAGCGUUGUCCGGAAUCAUUGGGCGUAAAGCGCGCGUAGGCGGCCCCGUAAGUCCGCUGUGAAAGUCCAGGGCUCAACCCUGGAAUGCCAGUGGAAACUGUCGGGCUAGAGUCCGGAAGAGGCGAGUGGAAUUCCUGGUGUAGCGGUGAAAUGCGCAGAUAUCAGGAGGAACACCGGUGGCGAAGGCGGAUCUCUGGGCCUUACCUGACGCUCAGGCGCGAAAGCUAGGGGAGCGAACAGG
This 253-nucleotide ribosomal RNA is filed under the name uncultured bacterium. Its description in RNAcentral is "partial 16S ribosomal RNA". It matches the Rfam family "Bacterial small subunit ribosomal RNA", at positions 524 to 776 of the family's 1533-position model. The record is from RNAcentral.